GUUUACGGCCAUACCACCCUGAACGUGCCCGAUCUCGUCUGAUCUGGGAAGCUAAGCAGGGUCGGGCCUGGCUAGUAUUUGAUGUGAGGUGCAGAUCUUUGUCAACC
This 107-nucleotide ribosomal RNA is filed under the name Prolemur simus (greater bamboo lemur). The record is from RNAcentral. Lineage: Eukaryota; Metazoa; Chordata; Mammalia; Primates; Lemuridae.